RNAcentral lists this long non-coding RNA (520 nucleotides) under Vombatus ursinus (common wombat). RNAcentral's name for it is "lncRNA (ENSVURG00010000362.1)". The record is from RNAcentral. Lineage: Eukaryota; Metazoa; Chordata; Mammalia; Diprotodontia; Vombatidae.
AUGUCAUGCCUGGGAACACUGAGGAGUGAUUAUGGGCUUCCAGAGAGUACGGAUAUCUGGUUUUUCAUUAGCAACAGUUAUGACAAUAUGUCACCAAAAGCACAGAAGGUCCCAAGGGCCCCUUUACUGAGGAAUAGACUGGAAACAAAACAUGCCGCCAGAGAGCCUGUCAGUCCUUUCCUCUGCCAGAUUUCACCCUACCCAGGGGCUGUCAGCAGUCCGGAUCUGGGGCUUGACUAUGCCCCCGGAGACAAAAGAAAGAAAGCAAUACAAGCUGAUGAAGAAAAUUCCAAUCCUUUUUUCCUGGCCAACAGGUCCCCGAGGAGAGAGAGGCAUCCCAGGGGAAUCGAUCAUUGGAAGCAGCUCUUCUUCAGGGGCUGCUUCUGCUCCUCACACUGCUCAAUUGCAAGGCCCCCCUGGACCACCAGGACCACCAGGACCACCAGGUGAUUAUCCCAGGAGCCUUGGAAAGGCUGGGAGAGGAUUAUGAAGAAGCCCAAAACACUCUAUUUCCAAAAUC